CCUACGGGAGGCAGCAGUGAGGAAUAUUGGUCAAUGGACGAGAGUCUGAACCAGCCAAGUAGCGUGAAGGAUGACUGCCCUAUGGGUUGUAAACUGCUUUUGUACAAGGGUAAACCUGAAUACGUGUAUUCAGCUGAAAGUACUGUACGAAUAAGGAUCGGCUAACUCCGUGCCAGCAGCCGCGGUAAUACGGAGGAUCCAAGCGUUAUCCGGAUUUAUUGGGUUUAAAGGGUGCGUAGGCGGAUUGAUAAGUUAGAGGUGAAAUGUCCGAGCUUAACUCGGGAACUGCCUCUAAUACUGUUGAUGUAGAGAGUAGAUGCGGUAGGCGGAAUGUAUGGUGUAGCGGUGAAAUGCUUAGAGAUCAUACAGAACACCGAGUGCGAAGGCAGCUUACCAAUCUAUAUCUGACGUUGAGGCACGAAAGCGUGGGGAGCAAACAGGAUUAGAUACCCUUGUAGUC
Molecule: ribosomal RNA, 460 nt
Filed under: uncultured bacterium
Lineage: Bacteria
Description: partial 16S ribosomal RNA
Rfam family: Bacterial small subunit ribosomal RNA
Source: RNAcentral